RNAcentral lists this ribosomal RNA (286 nucleotides) under uncultured bacterium. RNAcentral's name for it is "partial 16S ribosomal RNA". It matches the Rfam family "Bacterial small subunit ribosomal RNA", at positions 28 to 312 of the family's 1533-position model. The record is from RNAcentral.
GACGAACGCUGGCGGCGUGCUUAACACAUGCAAGUCGAGCGGUAAGGCCCUUUCGGGGGUACGACGAGCGGCGAACGGGUGAGUAACACGUGGGUGACCUGCCCUCAGCUCUGGGAUAAGCCUGGGAAACCGGGUCUAAUACUGGAUAUGACUCCAUGACGCAUGUUGUGGGGUGGAAAGCCUUGUGCGGCUGAGGAUGGGCCCGCGGCCUAUCAGCUUGUUGGGUGGGGUGANGGGCCUACCAAGGCGACGACGGGUAGCCGGCCUGAGAGGGCGACCGGCCACA